Molecule: long non-coding RNA, 1075 nt
Filed under: Strigops habroptila (Kakapo)
Lineage: Eukaryota; Metazoa; Chordata; Aves; Psittaciformes; Psittacidae
Description: lncRNA (ENSSHBG00005016868.1)
Source: RNAcentral
UAGAUGUUGUUCAUUGUCACUUUUAUGUUGCAGACGUAGAUAACUUUGCCGAAAGCAAGAACACGUCUCUUUUAUUUUUCCCCUUCUUCCACAUUCAGACAGCCCAUUAUAAUAUUUAACUAACUGUAGCAGACACCGUGGAGAGCUUCUGAGCCUGUCGUCUCAGCCAGUCUCACCUGGGGAGACCUGUUUGCAGCACACAGACUGACAGUUUGACCCAGAGCCUGCGCCCCAGCUCUGCUGCUCUCCUCUAUGCACCGCAGCCUAGGCCCUACUUCCUACAUGCCCUGCAUGCCCUGUGUCAGUCCCAGGUCCCCCACUGACGUAGUACAUGACAGCAUUGACCCAGUUCUCCUCUGGUUAAGUCCCAGCAGUGACUCCAGAAAAGCCUUUGGUGCAAUCUCACUGCUUCAGUGCACAGACCAGCACCAGGCAAUUUCCCAGUGGGCCUUGUGGCUACACUGCUAGUUACUUGGAAGGGACCAGACUUUGCUCUGGGGCCUUAAUACCAAGAGAGUAAAGUCUACAGAGGAAAGAAGUUUGGGCACAUGGAAAGGAGCAUAAACCUUCCCUAAAACCAAAUCCAUAGCUGCAGCCUAUAGUCCUCCUUGGCCUGACUAUUCUCAUGCUUUUCAUUCUGCUUGAUCCUCUGUUAUGUUAUGGCCACUGCUUCACUGGUGGCUGUGGUGAGCUCGCAGUGACUGAGCAACGGCGGUGUUUAUCUCUGAAUAAAUAAUGGGUUUCUAUCCUGACAAAGUUGCUAGAAAGUAACCUGGUAUUACAACAAGGAACAUGCAAAUCUUAGAAGUCAAGCAAACAGAGAGCAGGCUUUUACAAUGAUUCCUACACGUCCCACCAAAAGGGAAGAAAAAUCCUUGCAGCUUGAAAGCUUGAUUUUGUCACAUAAAACUACCUCAUAAAAAAGCAAGCCGAGCACAAACAAGGCUAUAGAAACGACACAACCUCCUGCUUGCACGCCGCCUUGGCUGAAGCAAAUACAGUCAGCAAAACCGUAAGUGGGUGCAAAGUGGGGGUCGGAGCAGUGGGGCACCUUCCAGUUUAUGCCGCAGUACGC